RNAcentral lists this ribosomal RNA (468 nucleotides) under uncultured soil bacterium. RNAcentral's name for it is "bacterial SSU rRNA". It matches the Rfam family "Bacterial small subunit ribosomal RNA", at positions 26 to 503 of the family's 1533-position model. The record is from RNAcentral.
AGGACGAACGCUGGCGGCGUGCUUAACACAUGCAAGUCGAGCGGAAAGGCCUUUCGGGGUACUCGAGCGGCGAACGGGUGAGUAACACGUGAGUAAUCUGCCCAUCGCUUCAGGAUAGCCAUCGGAAACGGUGAUUAAUACUGGAUAUGACAUUCCUUCGCAUGUUGGGGUGUGGAAAGUUUUUUCGGCGGUGGAUGUGCUCGCGGCCUAUCAGCUUGUUGGUGGGGUAAUGGCCUACCAAGGCUUUGACGGGUAGCCGGCCUGAGAGGGUGACCGGCCACACUGGGACUGAGACACGGCCCAGACUCCUACGGGAGGCAGCAGUGGGAAUAUUGGACAAUGGGCGGAAGCCUGAUCCAGCAACGCCGCGUGAGGAUGACGGCUGGUUGUAACUACUUCAGCACAGACGAAGUUUGUCUUUUUUGGUUGUAAGUAGUAGGUAUGUGCAGAAGAAGGACCGGACGAACC